CCCAAAGACACUAUUUUUGCAGCUGUUUGAAGUUUGUACAUUUUCUAUACUGCAGAGCUUCACAAAAUUGAAGAAUGUUAAUGUUCAAGUUUUCUUAUCAUGUGUUUAGAAGGUUUUUUUUGUUUGCGUUCUGUUUUUGUUGUUGCAAA
Phyllostomus discolor (pale spear-nosed bat) is the source of this 149-nucleotide long non-coding RNA. RefSeq lists it as uncharacterized. The record is from RefSeq and is a predicted model, not a curated record. NCBI's taxonomy places the organism in Eukaryota, Metazoa, Chordata, Mammalia, Chiroptera, Phyllostomidae. The transcript is spliced from 4 exons.